RNA transcript from Cygnus atratus (black swan), 1799 nucleotides. It is a transcript of the gene named bMERB domain-containing protein 1-like, with no coding region annotated. Lineage: Eukaryota; Metazoa; Chordata; Aves; Anseriformes; Anatidae. The record is from RefSeq and is a predicted model, not a curated record. The transcript has 6 exons.
GCGGAGCGGGCAGGGCAGGGCCGGGCGAGGCCGCGCCGUGCUGCGGCAUGGAAGGGACGCGGACCCCCCCCCGGUACGGAUCGCUCGAGUCCACCCGCUGGCCGGAGCCAGAGGAUGAAAUUGUUUCCAUGGCCGACUCCACCACCACCAUCGAUGACAUCGAAGGGGAGCUCUUCAAAAUCGAGAGGAUCAGGGAGAUCCUGGUGAGGAGGGAGUCGGAGCUGCGAUACAUGAUGGAUGACAUUCAGCUUUGCAAAGAAAUCAGCCGGCUGAAAAAGGAGCUUCAAAAACUGAUAGCCCUUCCAGAGACCGAGAAGUCCAACGAGGAGAAGCAGAGGGAGGAGGAGCUGGUGCAACAGAUACACAAGCUGGUGGAAACUCGGGAUUUUCUGGUGGAUGAUGUGGAGUUUGAGAGGCUCAGGGAGAGAGAAGAAGACAAGGAAAUGGCAGAAUUCCUGCAAAGUAAGCUCUCCAAAAGCUACCUCCAGAAAGCAAGUAGGUGGCUGAUGAGUUUUAUUCCUCCCAUUGAACCUCCCUGCCAGUUUCUCCCUUCGCUAAGCACUUCGUUCACAAGAUUUCACUGCUCUUUGUGGGGCGAGCUUACCUGGAGGCUGUCUGUUGCUGGAGGAGGGUGUGGGGAAAUGGCAACUUUGGGGUGCUGGUGUUUGAGAUCAUAUUGUGGAAACAUCACAAAUCAGUAGAGAUGCUGUGCUUCCAUGUACCCUCCUGGCACUUCUCAGCCAUCACGUCCUAUGAGAACUGGGACAAGUGGGUGUGCUUUCAUGGUUCAUGUACUUCAUCUGACCUUUUCUAGCCAUCCCCUUCCACUUCAUCACACAGUUAGCUGAGGUCACAAGUCACGGUAUCCAUCCAGCCGUCCUCUCUUCAUGGCCUCUGGUGGCAGGCCACCCUUCCCUGUGCCUCCAUCACUGCUGGAGGAACACCUCCCCAGCGUGGUGGGCAUCUCCUGCCUGGGGUCCCAGUGCCUCUGCGUGAGGAGGGGCAGCACCACAGCCCUGAGAGGAGCUCUCAGAAGAAGCAGUGGGCCUGUGCCCUUGUCAGCAAGCAGACACCAACCCUAAAGGUAACAAUGCUUCUCUCCAUAGCUCCUGUCAAAGAGAAAAAAAUGACUUCCAGGGGGCAGCAAACCUCCGCCCCGUAUAUGACCAAGACAGGCCUCACGCUGCUCAAGGAGUGCUGUGGCUUCACCUGCUCCAUCAUGUAGCCAGUCCCCAGCUCCUCUGCACAGGACAUGACCGUGGUAGUGUCUCCAGCCAGAGUCCACUAUCUGCUGUCCUCUGAGAGUUUCAACCUCCCGUCAUUAUUCAUGCUUCCCACUGCAGCACUGCCACUGAAGAGACUUUCCAAGUGGGCUGGUGCAAGCUUGAAUGAUGGCAUGUCUCCUUGGUGGCACGUCAAUGGUCGUCUCCUCCAUGACAUCAACAAACACUGAAUCCCACCUGAGCUCAGCUUGGCAGAGGUGUGUGCAGCAGUGAGCCCACAACAAAGAGGUUCUGCACCUGCCGGAGUAAUAAAACAAGCACUCGGAGCUAACCUUUGGAGGACAUUGUGCUCCACCAUCCAAGACACGCUGUUGCCACAGAUCUCAUCCUUGGCCUUGUACCAACUUGUGAGUCUCUGUGGGAUGGUUCCUAAGGACUCUUUGUGGGGAAUGUCUCUGGUCUGGGGUUUGUUGCGUUUGCCUUGAUGUUAUUGCCAAGUCCCCUGUGGCUCUGGGUAGAUCUGUGGGAAGUGGGAAGUGCAGUCCCCUGAGCCGGCUGAAUGAAGGGCUAAUUCUU